GACGAACGCUGGCGGCGUGCUUAACACAUGCAAGUCGAACGGAAAGGCCCUGCUUGCAGGGUGCUCUAGUGGCGCACGGGUGAGUAACACGUGGGUGAUCUGCCCUGCACUUCGGGAUAAGACUGGGAAACUGGGGCUAAUACAGGAUAGGAGCCAUCUUUAGUGUGGUGGUUGGAAAGUUUUUUCGGUGUAGGAUGAGCUCGCGGCCUAUCAGCUUGUUGGUGGGGUAAUGGCCUACCAAGGCGGGCACGGGUAGCCGGCCUGCGAGGGGGUACGGCCACAUAUGGGCUGAGAGACGGCGCAGACUCCUACGGGGGGCAGCAGUGGGGAAUAUUGCACAAUGGGGGCAAGCCUGAGGCAGCGACGCCGCGUGGGGGAGGUAGGCCUUCGGGUUGUAAACUCCUUUCGCGAGGGACGAAGCGUUUUUGUGACGGUAACUAGAUAAGAAGCACCGGCUAACUACGUG
This 466-nucleotide ribosomal RNA is filed under the name uncultured bacterium. Its description in RNAcentral is "partial 16S ribosomal RNA". It matches the Rfam family "Bacterial small subunit ribosomal RNA", at positions 28 to 507 of the family's 1533-position model. The record is from RNAcentral.